GACGAACGCUGGCGGCGUGCCUAAUACAUGCAAGUAGAACGCUGAAGGAGGAGCUUACUUCUCCGGAUGAGUUGCGAACGGGUGAGUAACGCGUAGGUAACCUGCCUGGUAGCGGGGGAUAACUAUUGGAAACGAUAGCUAAUACCGCAUAACAGUAGAUGUUGCAUGACAUUUGCUUAAAAGGUGCAAUUGCAUCACUACCAGAUGGACCUGCGUUGUAUUAGCUAGUUGGUGAGGUAACGGCUCACCAAGGCGACGAUACAUAGCCGACCUGAGAGGGGGCUCGGCCACACUGGGACUGAGACACGGCCCAGACUCCUACGGGAGGCAGCAGUAGGGAAUCUUCGGCAAUGGACGGAAGUCUGACCGAGCAACGCCGCGUGAGUGAAGAAGGUUUUCGGAUCGUAAAGCUCUGUUGUAAGAGAAGAACGAGUGUGAGAGUGGAAAGUUCACACUGUGACGGUAUCUUACCAGAAAGGGACGGCUAACUACGUG
Molecule: ribosomal RNA, 495 nt
Filed under: uncultured bacterium
Lineage: Bacteria
Description: partial 16S ribosomal RNA
Rfam family: Bacterial small subunit ribosomal RNA
Source: RNAcentral